GUGGGGAAUUUUGGACAAUGGGCGAAAGCCUGAUCCAGCCAUGCCGCGUGCAGGAUGAAGGCCUUCGGGUUGUAAACUGCUUUUGUACGGAACGAAACGGUCCGGGUUAAUACCCUGGGCUAAUGACGGUACCGUAAGAAUAAGCACCGGCUAACUACGUGCCAGCAGCCGCGGUAAUACGUAGGGUGCAAGCGUUAAUCGGAAUUACUGGGCGUAAAGCGUGCGCAGGCGGUUUUGUAAGACAGGCGUGAAAUCCCCGGGCUCAACCUGGGAAUUGCGCUUGUGACUGAAAGGCUGGAGUGCGGCAGAGGGGGAUGGAAUUCCGCGUGUAGCAGUGAAAUGCGUAGAUAUGCGGAGGAACACCGAUGGCGAAGGCAAUCCCCUGGGCCUGCACUGACGCUCAUGCACGAAAGCGUGGGGAGCAAACAGGAUUAGAAACCCCGGUAGUCC
RNAcentral lists this ribosomal RNA (450 nucleotides) under uncultured bacterium. Its description in RNAcentral is "partial 16S ribosomal RNA". It matches the Rfam family "Bacterial small subunit ribosomal RNA", at positions 354 to 796 of the family's 1533-position model. The record is from RNAcentral.